AUCAGGUAGGGGUACCCGCUGAACUUAAGCAUAU
RNAcentral lists this ribosomal RNA (34 nucleotides) under uncultured Tuberaceae. RNAcentral's name for it is "partial 28S ribosomal RNA". Lineage: Eukaryota; Fungi; Ascomycota; Pezizomycetes; Pezizales; Tuberaceae. The record is from RNAcentral.